This is a non-coding RNA of Chiloscyllium plagiosum (whitespotted bambooshark), 989 nucleotides long. The record is from RefSeq and is a predicted model, not a curated record. Lineage: Eukaryota; Metazoa; Chordata; Chondrichthyes; Orectolobiformes; Hemiscylliidae.
CUGCACCAUUACAAGUUUGCAACUGUUGGAAUUUUACAGCACAAUUUAUACUUAGGCUGAAGGGUGCAAGGGUGUACAAACAAGAUGGCUGCUCAGCAAGAAUCGGCCCAUUUACUGCAUAUAAUUGCACAAUAAAGAACACUUUGCAAAACAAAGGAAAAGCAAAGGAAGCAUCAGAAGAAAUGUUGCAUUUGCAAAGAAUACAAGCUGCUUGACCUGAGUCACUGAGUCUACAAAACUUUCAGAAUGAAAUCACAAAACCCAGUCUGUGCAUGUACGAAAGCUACCAAACGCAAACAGUGUCAGGGAGAUACCUUGCCAGGAGUAAUAGUCUUUACUAUCUUUCUUUUAUCUGAAACCUCUCUCAUCAACGUUUGUGUUGAAAACCAAGUGGAAAACAUAUCACCUCAAGUGGAAGGUUUCUAAAUGGAAAUGUCUUCAUUGCUGCAAUCCAAGAAUUUUUAAAGGAGGACACAGAAUCUACCACCACUGCCUCCAGCUGAAAAGAAUUCAACCAACCAUACUUAAUCCGGGAAGAAAUUCCAAUGCCAACAACCUACAUUCUUGUGACUUCUGCUACAGACCAAUAUUUGUGCAGUCUGUGAUUUUUUUUCCCCUGAACUGGACUGUUAUUUGGCUAAAGUAUGCUUAAAGUAACACUCUAUAAAGAGUUAUUUUUUACAGACUGGGAGUUCGUGUUUUUUUUUCCGAAAGAAAAUAAUAAAUGUAGAUACAUAGUUCAAUUUUUACACUUUUUGUAAGUCUUCACAUAUCUGUUUGAUUACAUUUUGUUUCUAAAAAACGACUUUUGAUUUGUUAUUGAAGGAACUUGGCUAACUUGUUUCUGGUCCUGAAUAUAUGUAAUGUAAUUAGCACUAUCAUGUCGCUUUGCAAAUUUAAAUUUUAUUGUAGCCAGUGAAGGAGUGGGACAAGGAAUAAGUUCACCUCCUAAUUUGAUGGUAACGUAAUAAAAUCUAAAGUACCUGUAA